This 433-nucleotide ribosomal RNA is filed under the name uncultured bacterium. Its description in RNAcentral is "partial 16S ribosomal RNA". It matches the Rfam family "Bacterial small subunit ribosomal RNA", at positions 29 to 507 of the family's 1533-position model. The record is from RNAcentral.
AACGAACGCUGGCGGCAUGCCUAACACAUGCAAGUCGAACGAGACCUUCGGGUCUAGUGGCGCACGGGUGCGUAACGCGUGGGAACCUGCCCUUAGGUUCGGAAUAACUCCCCGAAAGGGGUGCUAAUACCGGAUAAUGUCUUCGGACCAAAGAUUUAUCGCCUUUGGAUGGGCCCGCGUUGGAUUAGCUAGUUGGUAGGGUAAAAGCCUACCAAGGCGACGAUCCAUAGCUGGUCUGAGAGGAUGAUCAGCCACACUGGGACUGAGACACGGCCCAGACUCCUACGGGAGGCAGCAGUGGGGAAUAUUGGAAAAUGGGCGAGAGCCUGAUCCAGCAAUGCCGCGUGAGUGAUGAAGGCCUUAGGGUUGUAAAGCUCUUUUACCCGGGAUGAUAAUGACAGUACCGGGAGAAUAAGCUCCGGCUAACUCCGUG